This 460-nucleotide ribosomal RNA is filed under the name uncultured bacterium. RNAcentral describes it as "bacterial SSU rRNA". It matches the Rfam family "Bacterial small subunit ribosomal RNA", at positions 29 to 486 of the family's 1533-position model. The record is from RNAcentral.
AGUGAACGUUGGCGGCGUGCCUAACACAUGCAAGUCGAACGAGAACCGAGUAGCUUGCUACUCGGGGAAAGUGGCGAACGGGUGAGUAACACGUGAGCAAUCUGCCCUCGAGUGAGGAAUAACCCCGCGAAAGCGGGGCUAAUACCGCAUGAUGCUUUGGAGCAUAAGCUUUCAGAGUUAAAGCCUUCGGACGCUUGAGGAUGAGCUUGCGUCCUAUUAGCUUGUUGGUAGGGUAACGGCCUACCAAGGUUAUGAUGGGUAGCCGGCCUGAGAGGGUGUCCGGCCACACUGGAACUGGGACACGGUCCAGACUCCUACGGGAGGUAGCAGUGAGGAAUUUUGCGCAAUGGGCGAAAGCCUGACGCAGCGACGCCGCGUGGAGGAUGAAGGCUUUCGGGUUGUAAACUCCUGUCAGAGGUGAAGAAAACUCCCUUCGGGGGGCUUGACGGUAACCUCAGAG